Molecule: ribosomal RNA, 264 nt
Filed under: uncultured bacterium
Lineage: Bacteria
Description: partial 16S ribosomal RNA
Source: RNAcentral
CUGCUGCCUCCCGUAGGAGUCUGGUCCGUGUCUCAGUACCAGUGUGGGGGACCUUCCUCUCAGAACCCCUAUCCAUCGUGGACUUGGUGAGCCGUUACCUCACCAACUAUCUAAUGGAACGCAUGCCCAUCUAUCAGCGAUAAUUCUUUAACAAAUAUUUCCAUGUGGAACCCCUGUUUUAUGCGGUAUUAGUCCGACUUUCGCCGGGUUAUUCCCCUCCUGAUAGGUAGGUUGCAUACGCGUUACUCACCCGUGCGCCGGUCG